This 88-nucleotide non-coding RNA is filed under the name Schistosoma japonicum. Lineage: Eukaryota; Metazoa; Platyhelminthes; Trematoda; Strigeidida; Schistosomatidae. The record is from RNAcentral.
UGGUAGAUGUAGGCUGCGUGGUUGAGGUCCGCGAGACGAAAGUCACCAAUGGUUAGAGACCUUGAACGACAUGGCUUUGAAUCGUUUG